Molecule: long non-coding RNA, 300 nt
Filed under: Coffea arabica (coffee)
Lineage: Eukaryota; Viridiplantae; Streptophyta; Magnoliopsida; Gentianales; Rubiaceae
Description: long non-coding RNA (CARA_LNC001320)
Source: RNAcentral
UAGAAGUCACGCGCCAACUCCCGAGUUUCCGAACUUGCAUAAUUAAAUUUUGAUGCGCCCACAUUGAAUUGUACAAAAAUUAGUUAAAAUUUACAUUUUUAACUUGUUUUCACUCCGAAUCCCUAUAACCAACACCAAUCAUUAAAUAUAAGCAAAAUCUAUCAAUUAAUGCAAUAUUUGGUAAAAUAAAAGAGGGAAAUGACAGGUGCCGAACCUGUGCAAUAAUAAUAAAUAAAACCUAACUACCACCAAAAGUAGUCAAUAAUCAAUUUUAGGUACUGGAGCAGGGACUUUAAGUAU